This 430-nucleotide ribosomal RNA is filed under the name uncultured bacterium. Its description in RNAcentral is "bacterial SSU rRNA". It matches the Rfam family "Bacterial small subunit ribosomal RNA", at positions 29 to 507 of the family's 1533-position model. The record is from RNAcentral.
AACGAACGCUGGCGGCAGGCUUAACACAUGCAAGUCGAACGCCCCGCAAGGGGAGUGGCAGACGGGUGAGUAACGCGUGGGAAUCUACCCAGUUCUACGGAACAACACAGGGAAACUUGUGCUAAUACCGUAUACGCCCCAAGGGGGAAAGAUUUAUCGGAAUUGGAUGAGCCCGCGUUGGAUUAGCUAGUUGGUGAGGUAAUGGCUCACCAAGGCGACGAUCCAUAGCUGGUCUGAGAGGAUGAUCAGCCACACUGGGACUGAGACACGGCCCAGACUCCUACGGGAGGCAGCAGUGGGGAAUAUUGGACAAUGGGCGCAAGCCUGAUCCAGCCAUGCCGCGUGAGUGAUGAAGGCCUUAGGGUUGUAAAGCUCUUUCAGUGGGAAGAUAAUGACGGUACCCACAGAAGAAGCCCCGGCUAACUUCGUG